AUUGCCAUUUUGAUAUUCACUCUUGGGUCCAUAAUUCUGAGCAAGUCAUGGCCUGGUUUCAGUUCAAUUUCCCGGUGUUGUCACUGCAUUUCAAUUUCAAGUGUCAACUGAAUAUCCCAGUUGCCACUUGAGGGGAGUGUUGGAAUAUCACUUGCGAGAACAAGUCUCACUUCAAUAGCGCACAAGAAAAUUAAAGGCCAUACAAGUGUUGGCAAACUAAAUCAAAAUGGCCUAGCCUGCCAAUUUGAUAUUUACACUCCUCAGUCCAUAAUUCUCAACAGUAUACAUAGGAUUUAAAAAAAUUCAAAUAGUAUGAGAAUUUGUCCAGUUGCUUCUACAUGAGAGGGGUGGUUCCAUAAUUCAAAUUUUCUUUUCAGAGGAGAAUUUUAUUUGGAUCACUUUGCUUUCAUUAAUCCUGCGACACCUUUGGUACUUUACUUAAUAAUAGUUAAUAUUCACUUAUCAAGAGAUGAAAAUGAAAAGCCUCCCGUUAGUCUGAAUCCAAUUGCUUUACUUACUGCAUAUGACAUGACAAGAGAGUUACCUUCUCCAGCUGCUAUAAGGGAAA
RNAcentral lists this unclassified non-coding RNA (568 nucleotides) under Hevea brasiliensis (rubber tree). Lineage: Eukaryota; Viridiplantae; Streptophyta; Magnoliopsida; Malpighiales; Euphorbiaceae. The record is from RNAcentral.